This 486-nucleotide ribosomal RNA is filed under the name uncultured bacterium. RNAcentral describes it as "bacterial SSU rRNA". It matches the Rfam family "Bacterial small subunit ribosomal RNA", at positions 28 to 526 of the family's 1533-position model. The record is from RNAcentral.
GAUGAACGCUAGCGGCAGGCCUAAUACAUGCAAGUCUAAAGGGCAACAAUGUCCUUGGCGCACGGGUGCGUAACACGUAUGCAACCUGCCCACAACUGGGGGAUAACUUUCCGAAAGGGAGGAUAAUACCGCAUAAAACAGGGGCCCCGCAUGGGGAUAUUGUUAAAGCUUCGGCGGUUGUGGAUGGGCAUGCGGACGAUUAGCUAGUUGGCGGGGUAACGGCCCACCAAGGCGACGAUCGUUAGGGGAACUGAGAGGUUGGUCCCCCACACGGGCACUGAGAUACGGGCCAGACUCCUACGGGAGGCAGCAGUAGGGAAUAUUGGUCAAUGGGCGGAAGCCUGAACCAGCCAUGCCGCGUGCAGGAAGAAGGCCCUCUGGGUUGUAAACUGCUUUUGACAGGGAACAAGAAGUCCAUGCGUGGAUUAGUGAGUGUACCUGUAGAAUAAGCCACGGCUAACUACGUGCCAGCCGCCGCAGUAACAC